GCUAGUCCUUGCAAAAUGGCCAUGGGCUGGAUGAAAAGGAAAGAAAGAGCCAGUACAGGACACAGCAUCAGAGUCAAAGCUCUACACAAGGACAGUGGCUGUGAUGGUUAAAGGAAGGGCUGGAUGUGAAAAUAGCUGAUGGAGGAGUCAGAGAGCCUGGCAAGUGAUUGUUGAGAUGAAAAGAAAUAAAAAUGCCAAGAUCCCCAGCCUGUUACUGGAAGGAAAGUGACUCCAUUAGUCCCUUCAGAAGGAGCAGGUUCUGCUUAGAGGAUUGGUGUGAAAAUAAGGUUAUUAUUUGAAAUACUGAGUUGAAAACAUCUGUGGAACAUGAACAAAGAAAUGUCUUAAAGCCUGUAAUCUCAACACUUUGGGAGGCCGAGGAGGGAGGAUCAUGAGGUCAGGAGAUCGAGACCAUCUUGGCUAGCACAGUGAAACCCCGUCUCUACUAAAAAUACAAAAAAAAAUUUAAUUAACCAGGCAUGGUGGUGGGCACCUGUAGUCCCAGCUACUCAG
Molecule: long non-coding RNA, 513 nt
Filed under: Pongo abelii (Sumatran orangutan)
Lineage: Eukaryota; Metazoa; Chordata; Mammalia; Primates; Hominidae
Description: lincRNA
Source: RNAcentral